ACAUAACAUCUAGCAAAAUCCAAUUCAAUUGCUGAUCAAUUAAUGGACAUAAUCACCGAAAAUCGAUUUUUCUUUCAACCAACAAAUUUCCAGCACCAUCCGACCACAGCCGAAACCCAAAACUCCAAAUCAACCAGUAAUCACCAAAUUAACCAAAACCCCUCCAUCACCAAAUUAAAUCCACAAAAAACAAUCCGAACAGCGACAAAUAUACCCAAAACAAGAUCAAAACAAGCGGGGGAGAAACGCCGAAAUCUUACAUUUCGGCCUUCCAAUCUUGAUAGACUCGUUUUGCCAUGAAGAACCAAAUCCGCUGCGACUACGCCGGGAGGGAAUCCAAGACAUAGAACUUGCUCAUCCAACUCAGAGCCUCUCAAAAAAUUAAACAGGAAAAAAGAUUAAAGAUCGAAUUUUGAAGAAACAAAGAGAGAAUAAGUGGGCUUUUUCCUGACCGUGGAGAGCUGAGGGAAAGUGAGCUGUAAAACAGGCCCAGGGGCUUUUGAGAGGCAAUGGAAGACUCUCCCUCUCUCCGNN
Molecule: long non-coding RNA, 534 nt
Filed under: Elaeis guineensis (African oil palm)
Lineage: Eukaryota; Viridiplantae; Streptophyta; Magnoliopsida; Arecales; Arecaceae
Description: long non-coding RNA (EGUI_LNC047815)
Source: RNAcentral